GUCUGUGAUGCCCUUAGAUGUUCUGGGCCGCACGCGCGCUACACUGAUGCGUUCAACGAGUAUACAACCUUGAUCGAUAGGUCUGGGUAAUCUUGUGAAUGCGCAUCGUGCUAGGGAUAGACUGUUGCAAUUUUCAGUCUUGAACGAGGAAUUCCUAGUAAACGCAAGUCAUCAGCUUGCAUUGAUUACGUCCCUGCCCUUUGUACACACCGCCCGUCGCACCUACCGAUUGAAUGACUCGGUGAAAAAUUGGGACUGUGGGUCCGCUUGCUUCAUUGCGAGUGGAUUGAUGGGAACUUUUUUAAACCUCGCCAUUUAGAGGAAGGUGAAGUCGUAACAAGGUUUCCGUAGGUGAACCUGCGGAAGGAUCAUUACCACACCUAAAAACUUUCCACGUGAACUGUAUCAACCCAAUAAAUUGGGGGUUUAAUUGGCGGUGGCUGCUGGCAUCUUUUUGUUGGCGGCUGUUGCUGAGCAAGCCCUAUCAUGGCGAACGUUUGGACCUCGGUCUGAACUAGUAGCUUUUAUUUUAAACCCUUUCUUAAUUACUGAAUAUACUGUGGGGACGAAAGUCUCUGCUUUUAACUAGAUAACAACUUUCAGCAGUGGAUGUCUAGGCUCGCACAUCGAUGAAGAACGCUGCGAACUGCGAUACGUAAUGCGAAUUGCAGGAUUCAGUGAGUCAUCGAAAUUUUGAACGCAUAUUGCACUUCCGGGUUAGUCCUGGAAGUAUGCCUGUAUCAGUGUCCGUACAUUAAACUUGGUUUUCUUCUUUCCGUGUAGUCGGGGGAGGAUAUGCCAGAUAUGAAGUGUCUUGCGACUGAUUUUCGGAUCGGCUGCGAGUCCUUUGAAAUGUACAGAACUGUACUUCUCAUGCUCGAAAAGCGUGGCGUUGCUGGUUGUGAAGGCUGUCCGUGUGACCAGUCGGCGAUCGGUUUGUCUGCUGUGGCGUUUAUGGAGGAGUGUUCGAUUCGCGGUAUGAUUGGCUUCGGCUAAACAGGCGCUUAUUGGACGUUCUUCCUGCUAUGGCGGUAUGACUGGUGAACCGUAGUUGUAUGUUGACUUGGCUUUUGAAUCGGCUUAGCUGUGCGAAGUAGAGUGGCAGUUUCGGCUGUCGAGGGUCAACCCAUUUGGGAACUUGUGUUGUGUGGCUUCGGUCGUGCAGCAUCUC
This 1171-nucleotide ribosomal RNA is filed under the name Peronospora radii. RNAcentral's name for it is "bacterial SSU rRNA". The stretch from base 1 to 374 matches the Rfam family "Eukaryotic small subunit ribosomal RNA", at positions 1460 to 1831 of the family's 1831-position model. Lineage: Eukaryota; Oomycota; Peronosporomycetes; Peronosporales; Peronosporaceae. The record is from RNAcentral.